AACACAUGCAAGUCGGGGGGCAGCAUCAUCAAAGCUUGCUUUGAUGGAUGGCGACCGGCGCACGGGCGAGUAACACGUAUCCAACCUGCCGACAACACUGGGAUAGCCUUUCGAAAGAAAGAUUAAUACCGGAUGGCAUAAUUAUUCCGCAUGGGAUAAUUAUUAAAGAAUUUCGGUUGUCGAUGGGGAUGCGUUCCAUUAGGCAGUUGGCGGGGUAACGGCCCACCAAACCCACGAUGGAUAGGGGUUCUGAGAGGAAGGUCCCCCACAUUGGAACUGAGACACGGUCCAAGCUCCUACGGGAGGCAGCAGUGAGGAAUAUUGGUCAAUGGACGAGAGUCUGAACCAGCCAAGUAGCGUGAAGGAUGACUGCCCUAUGGGUUGUAAACUUCUUUUAUACGGGAAUAAAGUGAGCCACGUGUGGCUUUUUGUAUGUACCGUAUGAAUAAGGAUCGGCUAACUCCGUGCCAGCAGCCGCGGUAAUACGGAGGAUCCGAGCGUUAUCCGGAUUUAUUGGGUUUAAAGGGAGCGUAGGCGGGUUGUUAAGUCAGUUGUGAAAGUUUGCGGCUCAACCGUAAAAUUGCAGUUGAUACUGGCGACCUUGAGUGCAACAGAGGUAGGCGGAAUUCGUGGUGUAGCGGUGAAAUGCUUAGAUAU
RNAcentral lists this ribosomal RNA (657 nucleotides) under uncultured bacterium. RNAcentral's name for it is "bacterial SSU rRNA". It matches the Rfam family "Bacterial small subunit ribosomal RNA", at positions 50 to 697 of the family's 1533-position model. The record is from RNAcentral.